UGUAGGCUAAGCAGACGCUCAUCGAAAAAAACAAAGCGCGCCUCCAGAACGAAUGUAAGCCGUGCGUCGGAGAGAGGUGUCAAGCCAAGGCGGCCUCCUGCCAAAUUGACAAGCUUCCCCAGAGUGUCCCUACUUGCGCCGGAAUUAAAGCCAUUAACAUAGGUGGCGCCACAACCGACGAAGAGAAGGAGAUUAAGGGGCGCGAACUGUUCGAGCUGUGUAAAUUCUACAUGCGGCAGUGCCCGAAUAACGAGCUGUUCAGCGAAACCUGCACGCAGUCCGUUCUCGACAAAUGUCAGGCAAAGAGCAGAGAGUGCACUGCUGCUGCGCUGCCGACUACUGAGCCUGCUUGUCCGGCCGUAUUAGAGGCAGCUAAGACCGAGGAUCAGCAGAAGA
Molecule: long non-coding RNA, 396 nt
Organism: Priapulus caudatus
Lineage: Eukaryota; Metazoa; Priapulida; Priapulimorpha; Priapulimorphida; Priapulidae
Exons: 3
Source: RefSeq, a predicted model, not a curated record